GACGAACGCUGGCGGCGUGCCUAAUACAUGCCAGUAGAACGCUGAAGGAGGAGCUUGCUCUUCUGGAUGAGUUGCGAACGGGUGAGUAACGCGUAGGUAACCUGCCUGGUAGCGGGGGAUAACUAUUGGAAACGAUAGCUAAUACCGCAUAACAUAGAAGGUUGAAUAACAUUUCCUAAAAAGUUGCAUUUGCUUCCCAACCAGAUGAACCUGCGUUGUAUUGGCUAGUGGGUGGGGUAACGGCUAACCAAGGCGCCGAUACAUAGCCGACCUGAGAGGGUGAUCGGCCACACUGGGACUGAGACACGGCCCAGACUCCUACGGGAGGCAGCAGUAGGGAAUCUUCGGCAAUGGACGGAAGUCUGACCGAGCAACGCCGCGUGAGUGAAGAAGGUUUUCGGAUCGUAAAGCUCUGUUGUAAGAGAAGAACGAGUGUGAGAGUGGAAAGUUCACACUGUGACGGUAUCUUACCAGAAAGGGACGGCUAACUACGUG
Molecule: ribosomal RNA, 495 nt
Filed under: uncultured bacterium
Lineage: Bacteria
Description: partial 16S ribosomal RNA
Rfam family: Bacterial small subunit ribosomal RNA
Source: RNAcentral